UCCCCAGUAGCUCAGUUGGUAGAGCAAUCGGCUGUUAACCGAUCGGUCGCAGGUUCGAGUCCUGCCUGUGGAG
RNAcentral lists this transfer RNA (73 nucleotides) under Listeria monocytogenes. RNAcentral's name for it is "tRNA-Asn". It matches the Rfam family "tRNA". From Rfam's summary of the family: Transfer RNA (tRNA) molecules are approximately 80 nucleotides in length. Their secondary structure includes four short double-helical elements and three loops (D, anti-codon, and T loops). Further hydrogen bonds mediate the characteristic L-shaped molecular structure. tRNAs have two regions of fundamental functional importance: the anti-codon, which is responsible for specific mRNA codon recognition, and the 3' end, to which the tRNAs corresponding amino acid is attached (by aminoacyl-tRNA synthetases). tRNAs cope with the degeneracy of the genetic code in two manners: having more than one tRNA (with a specific anti-codon) for a particular amino acid; and 'wobble' base-pairing, i.e. permitting non-standard base-pairing at the 3rd anti-codon position. Lineage: Bacteria; Bacillati; Bacillota; Bacilli; Caryophanales; Listeriaceae. The record is from RNAcentral.